This is a long non-coding RNA of Nerophis ophidion (straightnose pipefish), 501 nucleotides long. RefSeq lists it as uncharacterized. Lineage: Eukaryota; Metazoa; Chordata; Actinopteri; Syngnathiformes; Syngnathidae. The transcript is spliced from 4 exons. The record is from RefSeq and is a predicted model, not a curated record.
CGUCCGUGAUGUUGAGUGUCUCCUCCUCCUCUGAAGGGCUCGGCUCGGCGUCCAUCUCUGUGACCUCCUCGUCGGGCGCCACUUUGCGCUCUUUCGUCUUGCAGCACGCCAUGGCCCCCUGGGACUAAAAUACACGAGGGUGAGCAACUUGGAUACCAUAAAAAGAAUCCCACCCUCUCUGGCAGCGAUCUGGCCGGGCUGACGUUGAACAUCUUGGACAUGUCUUCAGAGUUGCGUUGCUGCGCCACAUCGCACAGUUUGGCCGUGAUGUCGAUGCGUCUGCAGAUGUCCAUGUCCACCCGUCUGGCUUUCUCCUGAAUCUUGGAGUCCAGGUUUUCCACCGCAGACUCCAGCUGCUCGCGUUUGGACAGCUCCUCCUCCCAUCUGCAACACAACACAACAAAACACAAAGGAAUACUGUUUGGUGAAGAAGCAGACCUCCUACUCACAAAGUAUGAAAGUAGAAAGUAGAAUGCACCUCAUGUGUAAACAGUGAGUACC